UACGUAGGAGACGAGCGUUGUCCGGAAUUACUGGGCGUAAAGCGCGUGUAGGCGGAUGAGCAAGUCUGCUGUGAAAGCUCCUGGCUUAACCGGGAGUAGUCGGUGGAAACUGCUCGUCUGGAGGACGGUAGAGGCUGGUGGAAUUCCCGGUGUAGUGGUGAAAUGCGUAGAGAUCGGGAGGAACACCUGUGGCGAAGGCGGCCAGCUGGGCCGGGCCUGACGCUGAGACGCGAAGGCGUGGGGAGCGAACGGG
RNAcentral lists this ribosomal RNA (253 nucleotides) under uncultured bacterium. Its description in RNAcentral is "partial 16S ribosomal RNA". It matches the Rfam family "Bacterial small subunit ribosomal RNA", at positions 524 to 776 of the family's 1533-position model. The record is from RNAcentral.